CAUGUUUAUGAAUAAUACCUUGGAGGUAUAAAGGUUCUAUAUGUUAAUGCUAUAAAUGUUAUUUACAAGGCAGUGAAUAUACUCCAUGUGACACACCAAAUAUUGCUUAUAUAAAAUAAAUGUAAAAGAAUCGAAUUUUACUGAGAAACAUUAUAGAUCAGUAAUAAAUGCUAUAAGAACGGUAUUAUUCCGAAGUCUUUAUGUGUACAGACUGAAAUCCAUGGGCUGAAAGGGCUGGAACUUUACGCUGGUUUCCUGUGAAGUAAACAAUCGUCACGUGCACAAACACGACUAUUUAUACAUCCCGUAUAAUUCAUUCCUGAUAUAAUAACUAUAGAAUAUAAGAAUAAAACUGGCUUCCUGUUGUGCUUGUCCACUCGAUUAACCUUUCAGAAGCUAGCUAGUUAUCGAGAUCGAUUAUGUACAAGGACGACGAUUGCUGGGAUUAUUGAUCUAGGUUUGAUGUUUCCCCGUUCCGUUCGUGUCCUCACUUCUAUAUAUCUACUUUGUACUUUAUCUGCUAACUUUUAUAUUCUCGCUAACACACACGAUAUACACAAUACACCAAAAAAGAUGUGUGUGACAAUCUCCAUGGUUACCCUCGUCAUGGCGUUUUCCCCCCACUCGCUCGGAUUAUAGUCCACGGUGAUCUCCUCGCCUUUGGUGAUGUCGCGAAUCGCUACGACGACCAGCCGCACCUGAUUGCCACAGUGCACUUCCCGGAUACGGCAGUUGGGUGGUGGGUAGAGAACGGCUCCCCUCCCGCUGCUGGAGCUCUGCUCCCCCGUCUCAGCAGGACUGACAGAGGGAGAGAGAGAGAGAGAGAGAGAGAGAGAGGGAGAGAGAGAGAGAGAGAGAAACAAAGGAUGAGGAGAUCCAGAUACAAAGAGAGGAGAGAGAGAGAGAGAAAAAGAUACAGAGAGAAUGAGAGAGAGAGAGAGAGAGAGAGAGAGAGAAAGGGUGGAGGCACAUGACAGACAGCGAGUGAGUGAGUGAGAGAGAGAGAGAGAGAGAGAGAGAGAGAGAGAAAGGCAGGAGGCACAUGACAGACAGUGAGUGAGUGAGAGUGAGAGAGAGAGAGAGAGAGAGAGACAGAGAAAGGCAGGAGGCACAUGACAGACAGUGAGUGAGUGAGUGAGAGAGAGAGAGAGAGAGAGAGAGAAAGGGAGAGAGAGAGGCAGGAUAUCAGAGUGAGACAAAGACAAACAGAGGGCACAAUCAGUCAACAGAAAGAGAGAGAGAGAGAAUAGUGAGUGAGUGAGAGAGAGAGAUUAAAAACAGAGGUAAGACAGAAUGAUACAGAGAGUGAGAGAGACAUAGUGAGAUAAGGAGGAGCAAAAAGAGACAGACAUAGAUAGAUGAUGGCAAUCAACGAGAGAGAGAGAGAGAGAGAGAGAGAGAGAGAUCAGCAUAUACAGCACAUUAAUCAAUGCCACGUACACAAUCCCACAGUUGUGUGUUCUCACAGAUAAGAACUCAGUCAGAGACCAGUUUCCACUUUUAACAGUUUCCUAUAUUACCCACAAUCCUGUGCGAGUACCUGCUGAUAGCGGCACAGUGGGAUUUAGCCCUCGCUUCACCUCUACCUAAAGAGAGCGAUGCAGCGACACUUUAGUGCUUCAGUCUGUUCAGCUCUCUCUCACCUCCUCCUCCUCUUCUCAUCUCUAGAAUGGAUCGGGUUUCCAAAGCUUCAGCUUUCACUCUCUACCACUGCCGAAAUCCUCUCACACGCCUCAUCUCGUACAUCGCGAACUAGCCGAGCCGAGUCUCUGCCGUUACUCGGCCGCGGUGCAUUCUGGGACUUUUGAGUGCAGCGUAAGCACCAACGUCACCGCUACUUUUCCACUUCUCACUGGAACACUGUUUAUUACUCUUUAAAUCGCCACACGCUUGCGUAUAUUAUUUAUUCACUCAUUUAUUCAACAUGUAUUUUUUAUAUCGUGCCAUAAAUAAGAAUUUGUUCAAAUAAUUCCAUCCAGGUUUUUAGUUUAAUAUUUACUUCACUCCAUAAAUGAGACAUUUUUAAUUAUCUCUGUAUUUUAAAAAAAUUAUUUUAAUACAAUUGUUACUUAUUGUGCUUAUUUGUUUCUAAACACAUAUACAUAUAUGCAUAUAUAUAUAUAUAUAUAUAUAUA
Molecule: long non-coding RNA, 2135 nt
Organism: Ictalurus punctatus (channel catfish)
Lineage: Eukaryota; Metazoa; Chordata; Actinopteri; Siluriformes; Ictaluridae
Source: Ensembl